This is a long non-coding RNA of Morus notabilis, 706 nucleotides long. RefSeq lists it as uncharacterized. The transcript has 3 exons. NCBI's taxonomy places the organism in Eukaryota, Viridiplantae, Streptophyta, Magnoliopsida, Rosales, Moraceae. The record is from RefSeq and is a predicted model, not a curated record.
CUCUCUCUCACUCUCUCUCUUAAAUCAAUAUUUUCUUUUACGGCUGUUUCUAUCUUCUUCAAGAGGCUAUGGAGUAAUUGUUUGACAUUCGCCCUUGGCUUUGACGGUAGCCUUUGAAUCAUCCCGGAAUUGUCUAGGAUGAUAACUACGAAGGCUUGUUUCUCAAAAACUUUUGCAGUGGCCGCCUAGGAGCUUUUGCUUUCGCCAGGCGUGAGAGUUAGUGCUGCUUAAUCUUUCCUUGGAUGUCUGAGCUAGCUUUCUCUAAUUGCAUUGACAUCUUCGUUUUUUAUAUCCCUUUUUUUUGACGUGAUUACUUUUACAUGUUUGAUUUAUAGCAAAAUUGCUUUAGGAGUUUUUCUUUUAUUGCUUGUUCACCAACUAAAUGGAAUGCUUCAAGUGGUAGAUUUUGGGACAAAACGUCUGCCCCCUUUAGCAGUGAUCUUGUUUGAAAGGUAACCAAAUGAUGGGGUCUUUGAGGACUUAACCAUGAUGCGGACCGUACAGCUUUUGUUAGCUGCUGGGGAUAAAUCUUGGUUUCUGAUGGUUAUUCUAUAUCCGGUAAGAAAGAUCAUGGUGAGGAUGUUCAAAAAAUUUACCAAACCAUGCAAUCCAAAUCAAACCCAAACAAAUUGGUAAUUUUUUUUUUUUUGGAUUAUGGGCUUUUUGGUAGUUUGGCGGAUUUUUUAAUUCGUGUGAAUUUGUUAAU